RNAcentral lists this ribosomal RNA (346 nucleotides) under uncultured bacterium. RNAcentral describes it as "partial 16S ribosomal RNA". It matches the Rfam family "Bacterial small subunit ribosomal RNA", at positions 338 to 681 of the family's 1533-position model. The record is from RNAcentral.
CCUACGGGGGGCAGCAGUGAGGAAUAUUGGUCAAUGGACGAGAGUCUGAACCAGCCAAGUAGCGUGAAGGAUGACUGCCCUAUGGGUUGUAAACUUCUUUUAUAGGGGAAUAAAAUGUUCCACGUGUGGGAUGUUGUAUGUACCAUAUGAAUAAGGAUCGGCUAACUCCGUGCCAGCAGCCGCGGUAAUACGGAGGAGACGAGCGUUAUCCGGAUUUAUUGGGUUUAAAGGGAGCGUAGGUGGAUUGUUAAGUCAGUUGUGAACGUUUGCGGCUUAACCGUAAAAGUGCAGUUGAAACUGGCAGUCUUGCGUACAGUAGAGGUGGGCGGACUUCGUGGUGUAGCGG